CGUAGGUGGCAAGCGUUGUCCGGGAAUUAUUGGGGCGUAAAGCGCGCGCAGGCGGUUCUUUAAGUCUGAUGUGAAAGGCCCACGGGCUCAACCGUGGAGGGUCAUUGGAAACUGGAGAACUUGAGUACAGAAGAGGAAAGCGGAAUUCCACGUGUAGCGGUGAAAUGCGUAGAGAUGUGGAGGAACACCAGUGGCGAAGGCGGCUUUCUGGUCUGUAACUGACGCUGAGGCGCGAAAGCGUGGGGAGCAAACAGGAUUAGAUACCCUGGUAGUCCACGCCGUAAACGAUGAGUGCUAAGUGUUAGGGGUUUCCGCCCCUUAGUGCUGCAGCUAACGCAUUAAGCACUCCGCCUGGGGAGUACGGCCGCAAAGGCUG
RNAcentral lists this ribosomal RNA (376 nucleotides) under uncultured organism. Its description in RNAcentral is "partial 16S ribosomal RNA". It matches the Rfam family "Bacterial small subunit ribosomal RNA", at positions 526 to 896 of the family's 1533-position model. The record is from RNAcentral.